ACUUCUAUAACCAUAAUUAGUUGAUUCGGAUUCGAUAAAAAUUUAGUACGAAUAUAAUUCGAAUAAAAUUCGUAUUUUAAUUUUUAAAUUUGUUGAAAAAUACGAUUUAAAAAAUAGAUUCGUCAAUUAUUCGGAUAUGCGAUUUAUAUGAAAAUUAUUAGUUAUCAAUGAAAAAUUUAAGAUCAACAAUUCGAAUAUUAAACUAAGUUUUUUUUUCUUUAAAUUUAUACUACUAGCAUAUAUAGUUAUAAAUUUUUAAAAAUAUAAAUAUAAAGAUUUGUAAAAUAAAGUAGAUUAAGUAAAAACAACAAUAGUAAAUUUUAUUGUCAUCGACAUCUUCAUCUUUUCAUGAUCCACAUAUUUCGAAAGUUUAUAAAAUUUUUAAAUAAUUCACGAAUAAUUCGACAAUAAUUCAAAAAAAAAUUAUUUAAAAAUUUUGCGCCUUUUUUUGGCCAAACAGUUAGGCAUACGCGAAUUAUUCGCAAAUUAUU
RNAcentral lists this long non-coding RNA (491 nucleotides) under Ananas comosus (pineapple). RNAcentral describes it as "long non-coding RNA (ACOM_LNC037401)". The record is from RNAcentral. Lineage: Eukaryota; Viridiplantae; Streptophyta; Magnoliopsida; Poales; Bromeliaceae.